RNAcentral lists this long non-coding RNA (337 nucleotides) under Nicotiana benthamiana. Its description in RNAcentral is "long non-coding RNA (NBEN_LNC030840)". The record is from RNAcentral. Lineage: Eukaryota; Viridiplantae; Streptophyta; Magnoliopsida; Solanales; Solanaceae.
UUUCUCUUAUUUAACCUUUCCUCUUUCCUUUCUUUUCUCUCUUUCCCCUUUCUCUCAAACCCUAAUCUACUGGCGUUUUCAUUUGGAUCAAAGAAAUGCAGAAUAUCUGAUCCAAGAACUCAAAAUCAAUUCUUUUUUCUUUUUUUUUUACAGCCCCAGAUAUUUUUUUAUAUAUUUUCCGAGUGCAAGCUUGUGGUGUAAGAAAGUGAACUUGAUGAGCUAACUCCAUUGUUUAGAUCAUCUAUCAUAAGAACUUUCAAGAUAUAUAUUGGUAUUUUUUUAAAUCUUUUCUCGAAUCUAUUAUACUGCUUUUUAUUUGUAUUUUGUUUUCUUGGGC